GCAUAUCAAUAAGCGGAGGAAAAGAAACUAACUAGGAUUCCCUUAGUAACGGCGAGUGAACCGGGAUGAGCUCAAAUUUGAAAUCUGGCGUCUUUCAGGCGUCCGAGUUGUAAUCUAUAGAGGCGUUUUCCGCGCCGGACCGCGUCCAAGUCUCUUGGAAUAGAGUAUCAAAGAGGGUGACAAUCCCGUACUUGACGCGACAACCGGUGCUCUGUGAUACGUUCUCAAUGAGUCGAGUUGUUUGGGAAUGCAGCUCUAAAUGGGUGGUAAAUUCCAUCUAAGGCUAAAUAUUGGCGAGAGACCGAUAGCGAACAAGUACCGUGAGGGAAAGAUGAAAAGCACUUUGGAAAGAGAGUUAAACAGCACGUGAAAUUGUUAAAAGGGAAACGAUUGAAGUCAGUCGUGUGAGGGGUAUUCAGCCGUCUCUGGCGGUGUAUUUGCCUCUCACGGGUCAACAUCAGUUUGAUCCGGUAGAAAAAGGCGGGAGGAAGGUGGCACCCUCGGGUGUGUUAUAGCCUCCUGUCAUAUGUGCCGGACCAGACUGAGGAACGCAGCUUGCAGCAAUGCCGGGAUUCGUCCACGUACAGCUUAGGAUGUUGACAUAAUGGCUUUAAACGACCCGUCUUGAAACACGGACCA
RNAcentral lists this ribosomal RNA (639 nucleotides) under Cryptococcus sp. VTT C-04553. Its description in RNAcentral is "eukaryotic LSU rRNA". It matches the Rfam family "Eukaryotic large subunit ribosomal RNA", at positions 38 to 668 of the family's 3401-position model. The record is from RNAcentral. Lineage: Eukaryota; Fungi; Basidiomycota; Tremellomycetes; Tremellales; Cryptococcaceae.